RNAcentral lists this long non-coding RNA (6419 nucleotides) under Nicotiana tabacum (common tobacco). RNAcentral's name for it is "long non-coding RNA (NTAB_LNC011056)". Lineage: Eukaryota; Viridiplantae; Streptophyta; Magnoliopsida; Solanales; Solanaceae. The record is from RNAcentral.
GUGGAAUGAAAUAUCAAUUAAGCAAGAUUAAAGUACUGAAGAAUUUAACAAAAUACAUAAUAUAAUCUCACUAGGACCCGGUGUCACGAAUCUGAGCCUCUAGAAUACAGAAUAUCAUCCUAAUACAUGGUAUAUCCAAAAUCUGAUAAUGCGGAAAUAAAGAGAUAGGAUAGGAGGGAGAAGAUCAAUGGCUGCGAACGCCGUGCAACUACCUCGAUACUCCCAGAAGCUGGAUCUGCUGAUCAACUGGAUCUACUGAGCCUGAUACUGCCCUGGAUCUGCAUACAAGGUGCAGGGAGUAAAGUGAGUACUCCGACCCAGUGAGUAAUAAAAGUAACUACAGUCCGAAGAUAAGAAAAUCCACUAAAUACACAAAUUAAGCUAAAAUCCAAAUAUACAGCAACAUAUGAAACUGAGCAGCUAAAUAACGGUAUAAAUAGAAAUACUUGAAUGCAAUGCAAUGCAUAUGAUGGUACAUUCCAGUACCCACUGCGGCGUGCAGCCCGAGCCAUCCAUAUUUAUUUAUCGUCGACGACGCUCACUGGGGGUGUGUACAGACUCCGGAGGGGAUCCUACAGCCCAAGCGCAAUAUCUUGGUCAGUCAUUGUUACCUGACCGGUCAGCCAUUGUUACCUGACCAAUUUAUAUCAUACAGUGCCAUUGUUACCACUGUUCAAGUAUAUCAUCCAGUGUCAUUGUUACCACUGUUUCAAGUAUAUCACACAGUGUCAUUGUUACCACUAUUUCAAGUCACUUUAUAAUCAGUCCAGGAAAUAAUGUAAUAAGCCCCUUGGGCAUUUACAAAACAGAAGUUCCAGCCCGGAAUACAUUUAAAAAUAUCAUUUAAGUUUUCAACACUUAGAACUAUGGCUGAGUUUGCAAAACAACAUUUAAAACCUUGGACUGAAAUUAAAUGAUAUGCAAAUCAUGCUAAGCAGUAAUAUCAAUCCUCGAAGGAUUUUACAAAUCGGCACAAGGCCCGAAACAUGGCAUCAAGCCCAGUAAUAUCAACGAAGUAUGUGUAUCAAUCACCAGUAUAGUAUAAACAUCACACGGGAUGGACCAAGUCACAAUCCCCAUUAGUAUCCGACCCCGCACUCGCCAUGGAGUGUGUUCCAUACCUCAAUAUAGAGUUACGAUGUGAAAGUCCGGGGUUUCAAACCCUCAGAACAGCAUUUACAUCUAUUACUCACCUCAAGACGGCCAAAAGUCUACUCCGCGAUGCCCUUUCCUUUCGAAUCGACCUCCUCGCGCGUCGAAUCUUGCCAAAACCACAAGGAAUAUAUUACAACAGGUUAAGGGAAUAUAACCCAAUCGAAAAGACUCGAAAAAUAUCGAAAAUCACGAAAUUUGCAAAAUCCGAGCCCCGGGCCCACUUGUCGAAAAAUUACGAAAGUCACAUCACCGGAUUCCUCGUCUCGCCACGAGUCCGUACAUAUAAAAUUUACCAAAAUCGGAGUUCAAAUGACCCCUCAAAUCUUCAUUUUAGAAUUUCAAUCUCAAGCUCUAAUUUAUUAUAAUUUGGCUAUGUUUUCAUGGAUUUUAAGGAUGAUUCUUCAAUAAAAUCAUGUAUUUAACUCAUAAAACUUACCUCCAAUCGAUCUCAGUUGAAACUCCCUUCAAUCCCCGUCCAAAAGCUCUCAAAAUGACUGAAAAUGGUGGAAAAAUGACCCAAAAUCGGAUAUAAACUCACUACCCAGAUUUUCGAAAUUACUGUUCACGCGCGGGACUGUUCACCCGCGGGUUACUGUUCACUGCUGCUAAAAAAAUACACCAGCAGCCAAUUUAAAUUGCAGCACAACCAUUUUUCACUAAAAUGUCUCUAACUCCAUCAUACGAACUCGGAAUUAGACGAUUCUUGUUCCUAUGAGUCACAAAUAAUAAUACGAACACAACCCUUCAAUCGAAACUCAAUUAGGAGCUCAUUUGCCCAGUGCGAUAUCCAUUUUGCUUGUUAAACAAUUACUCAUGUUUCGCGUCAAAAACCCAAUCGCGACUUGAUGAAAUUAGACCAAAAUUUUCAGAUCAUUCCUAUAAUUCAUUAUCAAAAUUCUGGAAGUCUCGGAAUCAAAUUUGGAUCUCUAGAACUAAAAAUGAACCUUUAGAACAUUACAUUUAUGCUCAAAACGGCAAAAAUCUUCCAAAAACUCUUCCAAAAUUUGUCCGAGCCUCAUGGGAUCCCAACAAAGUAUACUAACAAGUCCCAUAAUAUGACACAAACUUAGUUGUUCCUUCGAAUCACCAAAAACAACGCAAAAAUAUUAAAUUCACCUCGGAUUCAAGCCUAUGAACUUUGAAAGUUCAAAUUUUCACAUCCGAUGUCGAAACACGUCAAAACUAGUCCGAAUGAUCUCAAAUUUUGUAGACAAGUCCAAAAUGACAUAAUGAAGCUACAGCAACUCUCGAAAUUCCAUUCCGAGCCUCAGAUCAAAAUCUUACCUAUCAACCGGAAUUCGCCAAAAUACUAACUUUGCCUAUUCAAGCUUAAUUCUACACCGGUCAUCACAAAAAUAUUCCGGACACACUCCUAAGUCCCAAAUCACCUAACAAAGCUAUCCGAACCAUAAAAUUCACAUUUCAAGUGCUCUAACACAUAAGUCAAUAUCCGGUUGACUUUUCCAACUUAAGCUUCCUUAAAAGAGACUAAGUGUCUCAAACCUUACCAAAAUCAUUCAGGAAUGACUUCAAAUUUUGCACAAAAGUCACAUUCGACAUUAUGGACUUGCCCCAACUUUCGGAAUCGCAUUCCGACCCCGAUAUCAAAAUUUCCACUUCCGGUCGAAUUUUUUCAAAAACCUUCAAAUUUCUAUAUUUAGCCAAACGGCUCCAAAAUGACCUACGGACCUCCGAAUUCACUUCCGAUAGCGUUCCCAAAUCCAGAAUCACCAUAUGGAGCUACUCCCAGUCUCGAAAUUGCAAACGGGCAUCAAUAACACUGAAAUGCAUUUUAAGCCAAACUGAUGCAAUUUCUUCUAAGAUGCUAUCUUCCACAAUAGGCGCCAAAACGCUCCCGGGUUAUCCAAAACCCGAUCCGGGCAUACGCCCAAGUCCGAAAUCAUCAUACUAACCUGCUGCAACCUUCGGAUCCCAAUUCCGAGGUCUUUUACUUAAAAUUCCAAUCCUAGUUCUUUUCUUCAAUUUUAAGCUUUCAAAAUGAGAAUUUCCAUUUAGAUUUGACUCCAAACUUCCUGAAUUUUAAUUCUGACCAUACACUCAAGUCAAUAUACCUGAGAUGAAGCUGCUCAUAGCCUCAAACUGCUGAAUGACAUGCCGGAGCUCAAAACGACCGAUCGGGUCGUUACAACCUGUAACCAAAAGAUCAUCCGGCUUUGCAACUUGUCCGAACCUCGUUCUAUUUGGGAUUUGACACUAACAGAAAGAAGUCACGGCCAGCGUGCACUUCUCAGGAGGGAGAAGAGGAGGGUUUCGUAGCAAUUUAUAUACAGUUCAGAUAAUAUCAAAGCGGUAAAAGCAUCACUUAGCACAUUAGGCCCAAACAUGUAGCAAAAUCAGAUAAAGCCAAAUAUAACAAUUUAUCUAAGCUCGAAUUCUGAACCCUGAACCAGAGAUUCUGGUUUUGAUCCCCAGCAGAGUCACCAGAGCUAUCACACUUCCUUUUUCAUUACACCCCCGUAAGGGUAUAAUGGAGUUUUCCAACUUAAAGUGACAAUCGAAACGGGAUUUAUUUAUUUAAAAUCAUUCAGAGUCGCCACUUGGGAUAAUUAUGGUGUCCCAAGUCACCGGUUCAAAUCCUGAGUCGAGGAAAAGGUUGACUCUAUAUUACAGUCUGCGAACACAAAAAUCUGGGUAAGGAAUUCUGUUAACUUGGGAGAAGGUGUUAGGCAUUCUCGAGUUCCGUGGUUCUAGCACGGUCGCUCAACUGUUAUAAUUGGCAUAUUAUCUGAUUUUAGUACAUGUUUAAACCUAUGUGCAAAUUUUAACUUAAACCGCUUUUAUUCAUUUUUUAAAGAAAAUUGCAACGUUAUUAAAACACGUCUCAACCACGUCACAUAAAUGCACCCGUGAUUUUGACAUAUUUUAACAUCGUUGAGAUUUGGAUUUGGGUCACAUAAAUGCACACCCGAAUUUAAGAAUGUAAUAUUAUUAAAUUAACGUGCCUAAAGCAAUUACGAAUUUGCAACUUUGCGAGUGCCAUGGAAAAUUCGCUAAAUCGCGGCGACUUGAUUUCUAAAAAAUAAACAAGUUAAUUAAACGAGGUCCGUGCAUUUACGACUUUUGUUUGUCACGGCACACCUCAAAUUUCCAUACAAAAUGUGUGCCAAGAAACCAAUAACGAGCAUCACCAAGCAAAACAGAGUUGAGUCACUGAAACUUGAUACACGAACUUCAAACAAGAAUAAUAGGGAAUUGUGGCAAAAAAUAAAUAAAUAAUGGCACACAAGUUGAUCUCCAAUUUUCUCACUACUGCACAAUCAACUAAUAGCAAAUAAUAAGCUAAGAACUAUGAGCUGCUAAUUUACAUGUAAGACACCGUACAACUUAACACAUUAAAUACUAAAAAUAAGUAAUCCAGUACGCUAAAUACUAUGCUAAAUGAAAAUAAGGAAGAUAAAUUUCUUAUCACCUCAAUUUAAUAUACAUCCAAUGAUGAGUUCAAAAGAGUAGCACCUAAAGUUAAUUUAAAAACCAAACUUUGAUUUAUGAGUUUCAACCAAAUGACAACAAACUUAAAUAUACUCCAAAAGAACAUUCGGCACAUGCUGUACAUUUGUUUAAGCUAAAGCAAAAGCUAAAGCUAAAGCUAAAGCUAAAGCUAAAGUUAAAGUUAAAGCAAAAGCAAAAGCAAAAGGGUACUAUUAUUUUAGUCGUUUUUAAUAUUUCGGAAAAAAUUCAAAGUUAUUUAAAACACGUCGUAAGCCACGCUACAUAAAUGCACCCCCGAUCCACAAUAUAUUUUAUCUAACGUUGAGAUUUGGAUUUGGGUCACAUAAAUGCGCACCCGAGUUUAGGAAGGUAAAUUAUUAAAUAGCACGCCUAAAGUAACUACACGUCUUUAAAUUUGCGAGGGCCAUGGAAAUUCAACUAAAUGGCACGCCUCAAAUUUUAAGGAUUCACAUGUUAAUUAAAUGAGGGCCAUGCAUUUGAGAUUUUAUUUGGCACUCUAGUCUAGCUAAUUGAAACCAUGGUACCACCAGCUUCACUCUCAGCGGAUAGAACACCUAGCUAACUUUUAUUUUUAAGGUAAUUCUAGAUCCUACAUUUUAUAGAAACUCUCACAUGUACUGAACAGCUGAACCUAAUGCAUAACACUUAAACCGCGUGAAAUCAGUCAUAAUUGAUAAAAACCUUAACAUGACGAAACCCAACAAAUAAUAGUGCUUUUGCUGCAAAAUUGUUUAUUCCAAAAUGACAAAACAACUAAUAAUCUAGUAAUAAACAAUCAAGACAUAACAAUAUAAAAUUAAAAGAUAACAAAUAUAUUACAACUACUAAAUUUUACAAAGGCAAGAUGUUAAAGCUAGCAAACAAAACUGAUCCAAACGAAAAUGUAACAAGAAUACUCACGUUUACAGCAACAUCGAGUUUUAGCAGCUCGAGCUCGACGGAAAAAAUGGACAGCGAUAACCAUAGACCGGAACCAACGUACGGCAACUUCCUCACGACUCGAACUCAUAAAUGACUCCAAACUUCAUCUUCCUUAUGCUCGUUCCCUCACUCCGUUCAUGUGCUUGACUGUGUGUGCGAAGGUGAAGCUCGCCGGUUAUGGCGUUGUUGGCAGAAGGUCUGGCGGGUCAAGGUCGACAAAAAUGGGUGGUGGGGUCUGGUUGUUGGGUGUUGCGGCUGUUUUCCGGCAGGUUCAGGCUAGUCGGUGGCUUAGGGGUCUAGAGUUGUUCGAGAAGUUCAGCGGCUAUGGAGGAUGGCUGUUUCGCGAUGGCGCUGGUUCGAUGAGGGGUGACGACUGGUUUUGUGCUGUGGUUGUGGGGCGUCGCUGGCUUAGGGUGUGGAGGAGGUUCAACGACGAUGGUGAGCUAAAGGAUGGUUGUCGAUGGCGUUGCUAGGCGCUGGCUGUUACUGAAAAAGAAGAAGUGAACGACAGUGGGGUGGGUCGGGGAAGACGAUGAUCAGGGGGCGGGGUCGUUUGUGUAUGGCUGAAGACCAAGCAAUCCGGUAGGGAGGGGGGUCGUCUGUAUUGCGGCGCUCACCUCAUGAAGAAGAUGAAGUUCUCAGGGGUUCUCCUCCCUCUCCCUCUGUGUGUGAAUGGAUCUAAUUCUUAUAGAGGAAGAAAUGUGCGAGAGCAAAAUCGUGUGGGCCCUCUUGGGUGUAGCUGAGUGGAAUUGCCAUUAUGCUCAUUUUCCACAAUGUAAAGAACAAGAGUCCAGAAAAAGCAUCUCUGGCAUGUCAAAACAAGUCAAGGGAAGUAGGCCCCACUUGAAAACAAAGGAGAAAUUAGAGCCACG